AUCAUUCAUUCACACAAAAGUCAGGGAAACACAUAGCUCUGCUGAGCAGCCUCUCCCUCUCUUUUGCUGAGUUUCUUUCUUGCCAAAGCCUUGUUGGACGUUUCCAUAAGAGCAUCAACUUUGGAGCCUUGAAGCCGGAGCACUUUUUAGAUGUCUACAAGCUUCUUGAAGACUGAUAAAGUGUGUCGAAACUUAAUUGGGUUACCAACAACUUAUAGUGCGGAAUUUCCGAAAUUUCGUGAUAUUUUGCGAAUUUCUCGACUUUGUCCCAAAAUAAGCGAAAUCUUUGCUUCGAACUGGGCCAAAAUGGGCCCAAAUUUUGAAUAAAACGAACCCUGGUCCCCAAGAAAUCAGAAUAGAGAAAAAUGUCUUAACCAACACUGCCAAGAUGCAUUUGUGUUAUAUAUCUACAUUUAAACAUAUUAAUAUACUCAAUACAUGUAUCUAUCUUUCCAUCAAUUUGUUUGAAACUUUUGUGAUAUCAAUACUUUCCUGAUAUUUCCAUCAAAAUUUCUAAUUUUUGAAGGGUCGAUAUUUCUAUAAUCAUCGAAAUUUUAGUCCUUGGUUCUGUUUAUGUUGUACUCCUACUGUUUUUUUAUCAAUAAAAUGAUUUAGUGUCUUUAUUUAUUUAUUUAUUUUUUUAAAAAGAAAAAAGAAAAAAAUAAACUCAAAUUUCAUAUGACCGAAACCCUAAUUUGCUAACGGAGAUCGGGACAGAUAUGGGGAUCUAAUCCUCAAAGAGGACGGAGAUGGAAAAACCCUUACGAAGAUUGAGGCGAGGUCGGGAAUAUAAAUGAAACAGGAUAUAUGGGUAUGAUUUAUUCAUCCCUGCCCUGACCUUACCCCUCCCCGCUGCCAUCUCUAUUUGCUAUACUCAUGUAUUUGC
RNA transcript from Fragaria vesca subsp. vesca, 886 nucleotides. RefSeq lists it as uncharacterized. The record is from RefSeq and is a predicted model, not a curated record. The transcript is spliced from 2 exons. Lineage: Eukaryota; Viridiplantae; Streptophyta; Magnoliopsida; Rosales; Rosaceae.